Molecule: long non-coding RNA, 1828 nt
Filed under: Olea europaea (common olive)
Lineage: Eukaryota; Viridiplantae; Streptophyta; Magnoliopsida; Lamiales; Oleaceae
Description: long non-coding RNA (OEUR_LNC015498)
Source: RNAcentral
GAAGAGGAGGAGGAGAAGAAGAAUUUUCAUGCUGGGUUCUUAAAAUCUUCAAUUUCUCAUUUGGUUUAGAAUGGUAAGUAUAAGUUUAUUGAAUUAAAUUUUUAAGGGUUAUGGAAAACUUGCUUUAAUUCAAAGUCUAGCAAGAAUUAUGUGUUAUUGAUAUGUAUUUGAUGAUUAAAAUAUGUAUAUGUCAAAGAGAUAUGUAUUUGGAAAUUAGUGUUGAAGAAAGUGGAAACUUUGGAAAUGGGCUUGUGAUAUAAAGGCAUAUUAUUUGAAAUUCUUGGAAUUAUGUGAUGCUAAAAACUUAAAUUAAGGAUUUGAGGUUGAAAUUCUCCAUUUUUUUUAGCAAUUUUCGAGUUUUUGUAAAACAGGUGCUAGUUUUGAAAUUCUGCCCAGAAAGGUGCUAUUUCUGUCAAUGUUUUUGGUGACAGAGUUCAAUAUUCAGAAAUUGGUGCCAAUUUUCAAUAUUCUAAAAUUAUAGUGCUAGUUUUGUCAAUCAUCUAAUUUUGGUGGAUUUUUAGUAUUGGAACCAAAUUAAGUGUUAAAUAUUUGAGGUUUUUUAUAUAAAGAAGUAUAUGUUGUUAAUGACUCUAAAUGGGAUUAUGAGAUUGAAAAUAAAAUAUGUGAAGUUUUCAUUGGUAAAUUAUUAUUUCUAAUGGUAAGAAAAUACUCAAGGAACACUUGUGAAGGGAUAUGAUUUAUUAGAGUGAGAGCAUGAUAUUAUACUUGGAAUUUGAAAGUGUUGAGGCGACGAGAAUAUCGAAACCAUGAUCGAGUGAGUGGAUAUAAACUUAUUUUUCAGAAAUUAGAAUUUAUAAAAUUUAUAUUAGUUCACAAAAAUUAUUAUUUCAUACAGUUGAUUUUAAAGCAUGAUUUUCAGAAUAAAGUGGAUUUAUAAUCAGUUGAUCUUUUUAAUGUUUGAUUCAGUUCAUUUAAAUUAUUUGAUUAGAAUGUUAUAUGAAUAUUAAAUAUUUCAGUAUAUUUAAAGUUAUUUUAAAACCAUCAGAAAGUACCUAGAUGAAUUUACCCUAGUCUACACUUAUGUGAAUGUGUUUCCACAGUAUAUGACUCCAUAUGGUUAUUUUACCCGCUCAGCACUGGUGUAAAUGUGUUUCUACAGUGUAUGACCAGUUUGGUGAUUUUACCCGCUCUGCAUUAUUGUGAAUGUGUUUUCAUAGUGUAUAACCAGAAUUACAGAAUUUCAGCUUUGUGCGCGUAUGACUAGAAUUUCAGAAUUGAAUAACUUUGUCGUGUCUAUCGGUGCUAACCGAUAUAUGAGUAUAGUUAUUCCGGGUACCUUUUUGGUGUGAUUUUUCAGUAUUAUACAGUUUAUCAGAUUUCAAAUUAUAAAAUUCAAUUAAUUCUGUUUUCAGAAUAAAGCUUUUAGCUUAUAGUAUUGACCAGUAGCAAUAUUUCAUAAAUUUUCAUGAAUAUCAGAUUAUUCAUUAACUUUACAUCUACUUAUCUAGAAUUAAGAACAAAGAAUUGUAUGAUGCAAUCAUGUUUUGGUUUUAAAAGUGUUACCAGAUUUCAGAAUUGUUCAAAGAUUUAAUAAAGCUAAAAUUUUCAGAAAAUAUGUAGAAAUGGAAAAAGUAUAUUUAUUCGCAAAAUAUACACUCACUGAGCUAUAAGCUCAUAUGUCUUUUCACCUUUUUUCUUAUCAGAUAUCAGCUGAAUUGAGCAGCUUUGGAGCCUGUUGUUCCGCCAUAUUGAGUCACACGUCAUAGGUUGUAUGGCUUACUUUACCAGACUAUGUAGUACAUGUUUCUUUGAGUUAUAUGUAGUUUAUGUCAGAAAAGGUUAUCUUCGGUUCACUGCAUAUUUGGCA